GAUGUACGCUGGCGGCGUGUCUAAUACAUCCUAGUCGAGCGAACAGACGAGGAGCUUGCUCCUCUGACGUUAGCGGCGGACGGGUGAGUAACACGUGGAUAACCUACCUAUAAGACUGGGAUAAAUUCGGGAAACCGGAGCUAAUACCGGAUAAUAUAUUGAACCGCAUGGUUCAAUAGUGCAAGACGGUCUUGCUGUCACUUAUAGAUGGAUCCGCGCCGCAUUAUCUAGUUGGUAAGGUAACGGCGUACCAAGGCAACGAUGCGUAGCCGACCCGCGAGGGUGAUCGGCCACACUGUAACUGAGACACGGUCCAGCCUCCUACGGAAGCCAGGGGUAGGGAAACUUCCGCAAUGGGAGAAGGCGUGACGGAGCAACGCCGCGUGAGUGAUGAAGGUCUUCGGAUCGUAAAACUCUGUUAUUAGGGAAGAACAAAUGUGUAAGUAACUAUGCACGUCUUGACGGUACCUAAUCAGAAGGCCACGGCUAACUACGUG
Molecule: ribosomal RNA, 497 nt
Filed under: uncultured bacterium
Lineage: Bacteria
Description: partial 16S ribosomal RNA
Rfam family: Bacterial small subunit ribosomal RNA
Source: RNAcentral